UGGGAUACAUAUUGAGAAUGUGCAGGUUUGUUACUUAGGUAUACAUGUGCCAGGGGGUUUGCUGCACCUAUCAACCUGUCAUAUAGGUUUUACGACCUGCAUGCCUUAGGUAUUCGUCUUAAUGCUCUCCUUCUCCUUGCCCUCCACUCCUCAACAGGCCUAUUUUAUUUGUUAUCAAUACAUAAUUACACACAUUUAUGGUGUACAUGUGAUAUUUUGAUACAUGCAUAUGACGUGUAAUGAUCAAGUAAUUAGAUCAUCCAUCACUUUACACAUUUAUCAUUUUUGUGUGUUGGGAACAUUUGAAAUCAUCUCUUCUAGCUAUUUUGAGAUAUGAAAUGAAUUAUUGGCAACUAUUGUCAUCCUACUGUGUUACAGAGCACUAGAACUUGCUCCUUCUUUCCUAAUAUAUUUUUGUAUCCAUUAACCAACCUCUCUUCAUUCUCCUCCUCCCUCCUCUUCCCAGACUCUUGUAACCAUCAUUCUACUAAGUUUAUGAGAUCAACUUUUUUAGCUCCCACAUAUGAGUGAGAAUAUGCAAAAAAUUUUUGAAAAUUUAUUAAUUGGUUCUCACAAGACUGUAUAAUCUUGUUCUACUGCAUCACUUGAUCGCAGUUUCUCUUCUCCAAGGCUGUUGCGUCAGAGUAGGAGCACAUCUCUCUUUAUUAUUUUCUCGAAAAGCACAGUUAGCAUUGUUGGAAAAUAAAUACUAAUUAAUCAGUUACCUUGCUCCAAAGAUAAGUUUGUCAGCACUUAAACUCAGAGCAUCCAUCAAUCUUUACUCUUAUGUUCAAAGUUAUUACAGAUUCAUGAUAUACUUUAAAGGAAAACAUGUUCAAUAUUUUCUUUACAUAUAGUUUGACUAUAACUCAUCCUUAUUUAAGGGUAGAUAUGAUAGAUUAUGAUGUUUGAAAAAGUCUCAUAUACAACCUUUUACCCUUUCUAAACAUCCACUCCAAGUUCAGAUAAUCAAAGCCUCAAAUGUAAACUGCAGCAAAAGGGAUCUUUUCAUAUAAAGUCUAUGCAUGAAGUAACCUGGUUUAAUGAAAAGGAUACUGCUUUAGUUUGAUUCUGUGUCCUCACUCAAAUCUCACAUUCAAUUGUAAACCCCAGUGUUGGAGCUGGGGCCUGGUGGGAGGUGAUGGGAUCAUGGGGGUGGUUUCUCAUGGUUUAACGUCAUCUUCUUUGGUGCCGUCAUCACAAUGGUGAGUUCUCAUGAGAUCUGAUUGUUUAAAAGUAUGUGGCACCUCCCCACUUGCUCUCUUCCUCCUGCUUCCACCAUGUAAGAUGCCUGUUCCUGCUUUGCCUUCCGCCAUGAGUAAAAGCUCCCUGAGGCCUCCCCAGAAGCAGUUGCUGCCGUGCUCCCUGUACAGCCUGUGGAACUGUGAGCCAGUGAAAUCCCUUUUCUCAUAAAUUACCCUGCUCGGGUUAUUUCCUUAUAGCAGUGUGAGAACUGACUAAUACAAAUGCCAACUUUAGAAUCUGAAAAAUGUGAAUUCAAAACCCUGCUUUGACACCUGUAACUUACCUAACUUCUUUAAGCCUCAGUUUCCUGUUCUGCAAAAUAAGUCAUAAGGUUGUCGGGAGGUUUAAAUCAGAAAAAAAAGAAGUGAAAUACUUACCACAGUGUUCAGCUCAUGGAAAGCAUUUGGUAAACAACAACUAUUAUUGUUAUUCACUGAAAUUUUCAUAUUACUGCAUUAAGUUUUCUAAUAAUGAAGUUGGUGAUGUUAACAGUGAUUUAAAUGCUAUAUUUGGCCACAGUUUUAACAGUUCCAUAUUUGGACUGAGGCCUUAGUAUUUUGGAUACAUGUAUCCUGCUAAGGAUACAAUCCUUAGCAGUUGUAGUAAAUAAUCAAAAUUUCUCAGAUCUAAAGUUGAAUUGGCAGUUACCAGUUGUCCACGUGGUAAACUAAGCUUCUAUAUACUUUCAAAACAGAUACAAUCAUCCAAAAAUCACCUCCUACCACUUGACAAUAAUCUGGUGGCCUGCCAUAUCAGUGAUGUGCCCGCCUUACUUGGUAAAGCUACCUAUGACAGCUAACCAUAGCUGCAUAGAUGCUCUUGGUGAAGGUUAGCUUCACCUAUUCCUGUUCUGACUCAGGGAUGGUAGUGUUAGAUUUGACCUUGAUGUUAAGAUUAAAGCUUCAUCCUAGACUAUUAGUACAAAUACUCAAAUAACUGUUUAGGGAGAUUUCUCUUAUUAACUUCAAUUUGAAGUGAAAUGCAGUGCCAUCAAACACGGCCGAGAGUUCCAACCCAGUACUGAAGGUGUACAGAGGCAUAUUUUGGUAUUGUCAUAUAUUGGUUUCUUUAUCUCCUACAGCUUUUAAUGGUGAUGGUAAAACCACAUUAAAAAUUUGAUUCAGGCCGGGUGCGGUGGCUCAAGCCUGUAAUCCCAGCACUUUGGGAGGCCGAGGCGGAUGGAUCACGAGGUCAAGAGCUCGAGACCAUCCUGGUCAACAUGGUGAAACCCCGUCUCUACUAAAAAUACAAAAAUUAGCUGGGUAUGGUGGCGCGUGCCUGUAAUCCCAGCUACUCAGGAGGCUGAGGCAGGAGAAUUGCCUGAACCCAGGAGGCGGAGGUUGCGGUGAGCCGAGAUGGCACCAUUGCACUUCAGCCUGGGUAACAAGCGCGAAACUCUGUCUAAAAAAAGAAAGAAAUUGAUUCACUGUUUCACUUUGAAUUCUCCUAAGUUCCUAUUGAAAUGACCCAAAGUAUAACUUUUAUUAACAUUUUUUCAAAACUUAGACUCCCAUGUCAGUAAUCCAAAUUCAUAUCCUUGACCACCUAAGAGUUGCUGGUGACAUCAAUCCCAUGUCAUCAUUGAUGAGAAAUAAACUUGGGACACUUGGUGAAAGUAUUUUCUUCCUCAUACUCAGCACACACAUUUCAAAAUAACUAUCUGCUCAUUUGCUUUGAUUUCUUCAAAUAGGAGAAAUAAAACAGUCACCAGUCCCAAUAUUGGCCAAAGACCUUCCUGAAGCAAUGGAAAAGUAACUUCCAUUCUUUUUGUUUCUGUUCUUAUUUCCCUUUUCUUUCAAGGAAUCCGUACUUAAAUGUGACUUCUACGCUUUGAUAACUAGAUACCUUACAGCAAUUUGCCGUUCUUGAGCUAAGCUGUAUUUCGCUCUCUUGAUCUUUUAAUUCUCCGAUUUCAAGCACAUACGAAAGCCCUUAAUAUUUUCUUGCCCAGGGAAUUUUUGAAGAGCCGAACACAAAAGCCCUAGGCUCUUCCUGCCUUUUGUGAAAGCCUCAAUACAGGGAAGAGAUUACCUUGGGCUUCCCAGAGAACAGAAGGGAGGGACAGCUCUUUGAGAGAAUAUCGGUGAGGUAGGAAGGGGAAAAAUUCUUUAGCAGUGAGCUUUGUGACGGUAACAGAAACGUUCGGUGUACACAAAAACUGGUUUGGUAGCCUCGGGGAAGAGAACUGGUUUUGGUAACUUUAGCGAUCGGGAAGUCGGAGCAGACGCUCCUUGAGUCACAGGGGCUCCUAAUGAAGGCAGUGCAACGGCAAACAGAGAAGGAAACUUGCAUCAAUAUCAUGGUAGAAUAAUUCAUGAAAUAGAUCCACUUUUGAAUGGCUAUUUGCAGAAACAAAAGCAAACAUAAAAAGAAUUGGUUCGGUAAGAAGGAGGCAGUGACAGUUCUUUGCUAAUAUUGAAGCAUCAACUUGGUCAUCAGUUGGGUUGUGUGUGUGAUAUUUUAAACGAAAAUAACUAGCGAGACCUUACUUUAUCUAUUUUGUGUGACUACUGCUACAAAUGGUUUGAGCGUCAAGCAUUUGUUCUCAAAAUGUGCACCUGUCUGAAAUACAGUUGGUUUUUGUUAUUCACAUUAGCUGUGGUUUAUAAAGUUGCUGUAAACACUGAUUUAGUAAAUAUUGAAUCAUUGCUCCUGGGAAGAACACGGGGUUAAGUUCUUGUGAGCCUUGUGUCACGUUUUUAUUCAUUGGUCAAUACAUAAGUUUAUUUUAUCUGGAUUUCUGUUUAAAGGCACCCAUUUAAUAUAUAUAUUAAUUCAUUAAUGUUAAACUUGCACCCAACAGCAGUAUAACUCAUGUCAUAUCUAACACGUGUAUUUUCUCUGGAAGGCAGAUCACAGCCUUCCUGCACUCAGCACUUCCAUAAUUUGUUUUGAGGGCCAUUUUAAAGGUAGACUCACCAACAGAAAGCACAAAAAUGAAAAAAAAGAAGUCACAGCACAGGCUGUGCAAGGACACCCGUUGGCUGUCUGAGUUGAAGCUAGAAGAUAGGGUUGCCUCCUUCCACCUCAUCUGGCACAUGAGCAGUGAGAGACUGAGAUUUUUGCCCCUAUAUGCACAUCUGCAGAUGACCGGAAAAGAGCUGUGAGUAUUGAUUUUGGGGUCAUGAAUACAUUUUAGCAAGUAAUUAAAUUAGCAAAUAUGGAAUCUAUGAAAAGUGAAAGUCAACUAUGCUUUAUGUCUGUGCUACCCUGAAUUGACAUGGAUCUGUGAUGAUUUUAACACCACUAUGGCUCAGUUAUGUGUGUGACUCAGGCUAGUUUUAGCGCCAUUUAGAUUUGGGACUACAAGUUUACCUUAUAUCAUUUUAUUAUUUAUUUCCAUCCAUCUUAAAGAAAGGUAGAGAAUUGCCUGUGGUUUACUGGUAGUGGUCAUGGUGGAUUUCCUCUGGGGCAUGAAACUAGCUUUCCAAGGGUGACAUGAAUCAGCUACAGAGCAACACAACAGGAAUUAAAAGAACUGUAAGGGCCGGGUGCAAUGACUCACACUUGUAAUCCCGGAGUCAUUGCACUGUAGCCUAGGCAAGGACAAAAUUCCCUCUAAAAAAACAAAACAAAACAAAAAGAAGAAAUGUAAUCUCAAAAGGCACUUCUGUUUAAAACUACAAAAUCCUAUGUACUAUUUUUUUUCUGCUGAUUGAAAAUAAAUUUCAGAAUCCUAAGUGGAUUGAAAAGGUACAAAAACUAAAGAAUUGUUUGACAUAUAUGAAUAUUUUCUGGUUUUCGCUGAUUGUUACUAGAGAUUAGAAUUGUAUGAUUAAAUGAAUUGAAACAUUGUAUCUGUAAUGAUACUUAGAGAGAUUUUUAUAACUAUAGUGGCCCUUACAUUCUUUCAAACUUACGGAGGAAAAUUUUUGCUGAAGUAUGCGAAAACGCUGAUCAAUCUGUCUGCUCUGCUCGCAUUUUUCUCAGAUCAUUUGCAUCUACACCGAGAGAUGUGAAGCCAUACCAUGCUACUUUUCCUGGCCGGAGUUGAUUAGACCAGGAAUGGACUCCUAACCAAGAUGGGCUAAUAAUAAUUGUUACUCUGGAGUCCUCAUAAAUAGGGCAAACUAUUUAGUGGAAUAGAAUAUCCAGAAAUACAUCCAGAAAAUGUAUAAAUUUGACAGAUGACAAAGGACAUAUUUCAGUUUCAUGGGAAAAGACACAGUAAUGCUGGUGCUAGCAUAAUUGGCUCUCUACCUAAAAGAAAUGAAACCAGACCCCGAUUUCACACCAUCUACAAAAAAUGUCUAUGAUGAUAUAAUAUCUUCAUGUAAAAAUAAAAUCAAUAAAAAUAUUUGAAGAAAUUAGGUAUUUACAUGUCCUUGGCUAGAGAAGAACUUCUUACACAGAUUAGGAAACUCAAAAUCCAUAAAGUAAAAAAUUUGAAUAUUAAAAAUAUCUUAUUAUUACAAAAUAAAUCCUAAAGAGAGUCAGAAGAUGAACAAUGGACUAGAAAAUAUAUUUUAAACAGAUACUGCAUUUAACAGGGUUGACUGCACCGUCAUCCUUGAAAUAUCUCCAAGUAUUUGAAUUUCAUCUACAAUGCUACACUCUCCUGCUUUCUUUUCUACGUCACUCACUGAUUGCUGCUUUUCAGCCCAAUUUACUCCUCUCUCUUAUUCUAAAUCUUGGAGUACCCCAGAGUUCAUUUCUUAGCUCCUUAUAUUUCUGAAUGCCCCCUUGGUGAUUUCAUGGGAUCCCAUGGCACCAGAUGACACUUACACUCUGAAGAUUCACAAUUUGACAUCUCCACCUGAACUGCUCCCCUGACAGUCAGACUUAUCUUUCCAACACCAACCAGCAUCUCCCUGUGGCUGUCUAAAAGGCUUCUCCAUCUCAACAUGUCCAAUCAAGGACUUUCCAUUUUCAUUCUUAAAACCUUUCCCCAUCCCCACUCUAGCAAUACUCUUUUUGCUAAUGUUAUGGUUUGGUAUGGUUUAUUUGGCUCCACCAAGUCUCAUACUGACAGUGAUCUCUGGUGUUGGAGGUGGGACCUGGUGAAGGCAUUUGGAUCUUGGGGGCAGAUCCUACAUAAUAGUUUGGUGCCGUCCUUGUCAAAAUGACUGAGCCCUCGCUCUUAGUUUCCAUUGGAACUGGUUAUUGAAAAGAACCUGGCACCUCCUCUGCCUGUCUCUCACCAUGUGAUCUCUGCAUACAGACUCCUCCUCCUUUUCCACCAUGAGUAGAAGCUUUCUGAGGCCUCACCAGAAGCAGAUGCUGGGGCCAUGGUUGUACAGCCUGCAGAACCAUGAGCCAAAUAAACGUGUUCUUUAUAAAUUACCCAGUCUCAUAUUUUCUCUGAUAGCAACACAAAUGGACUAAGACAAAGAAAUAAAAAUUAAUAGCAUCAAGCUUUUGUUUAAGCCAAAAACCUAAGAAUCACCCUUAAUUCCUGCUGAAACCUCACAUUCUACAUCUAGCCACUGAAAAAGCUGCUUUGCAUUAUUUUCAAAAUACAUUUUCUAGACACCCACUUGUCCUUGUUCCUUACAAUGUUCUCUUCAUUGAACUGCCAUAAUCUUGCUCCUAGAUUACUACAAUGGCCUUGUAACUACAUUUCCCAUCACACGCUUGACUUCCUCCAUUAUAUUCUCCAUAAAUGACCAAUAUGAUAAAACAAAAGAAAACAUAAAUUAGACCAUGGUUUUCUUCUAGUUGUAAGCCUCCAGUAUAAUCCCGUCUCACUUAAAAUAAAAUGUAAUCUCUUCCCCA
Callithrix jacchus (white-tufted-ear marmoset) is the source of this 6960-nucleotide non-coding RNA. The record is from RefSeq and is a predicted model, not a curated record. Lineage: Eukaryota; Metazoa; Chordata; Mammalia; Primates; Cebidae.